RNAcentral lists this ribosomal RNA (274 nucleotides) under uncultured bacterium. RNAcentral's name for it is "partial 16S ribosomal RNA". It matches the Rfam family "Bacterial small subunit ribosomal RNA", at positions 523 to 796 of the family's 1533-position model. The record is from RNAcentral.
CUACGGAGGGCGCGAACGUUGCUCGGAAUCAUUGGGCGUAAGGCGCACGUAGGCGGCCUGAUAAGUCGGAUGUGAAAGCCCACGGCUCAACCGUGGAAGUGCAUUCGAAACUGUCAGGCUUGAGUAUGGGAGAGGGUUGCGGAAUUCCCGGUGUAGAGGUGAAAUUCGUAGAUAUCGGGAGGAACACCAGCGGCGAAGGCGGCAGCCUGGACCAAUACUGACGCUGCGGUGCGAAAGCGUGGGGAGCAAACAGGAUUAGAUACCCUAGUAGUCC